ACUUCCUUGACAAAAUCAAACAGCAUACAGACAAUCCAUGUAUGAAACGUAUUCCACACACUGGCUGUGCUGUACUAAGUAUGCUGCUGUGCGGCACACAGACAAACCACAGGUACUGAUCCUGUACUCACGGCGUGCACAGCUGUGUGGCGUGGACACUACCUUGUUCAUGACGAGCAGGGUGCCCUGCAGACCAGGUAUUUGCAAGGUCACCUCGAUCUUCUCUGUGCGUGGGUACAGGGCAUGCUGGCGAGCCUGCUCCAGGGAAAACACAGUGCUGCGCUGAUCACGCACCUCGUCAAUGAAUUAAUGGUGAAUACAUGAUAUUACAAUACACAUUUCCUAUGCCUAAACUAGUUUGAAGAUUCAAGAUUUAAUGGAUUUCGCCAUUCUUUGGUCAUCAUUGGAAUAGUGUUAUGGGAACUAGCUAACCCUUAAAUCUAUUGUCGAAAAAAACGUAUUUUUAACAAAUGUAAACUUUACGUACUGGGCAGUACAACUGCAGUGCCGCAGCCACAAUCUGACAGCAAGAAUAUGGCAACUGAUUUUCACAAUCCCACAUCCUAUACACAAAUUAGCGAUGCAGAAACCUAGAUUAGCUAUAUAAACUCUCACUGCCAUAGUUUACAACAUGGACAUUUGUUAACGAUGUCCUCAUCCUCUAAUACUGUACUUAGCAACCACCCAAGGUAAUUUUGUAUACAAGGAAGCUAGCCAAUGUUAUACGAGUGGCAGCGGUUGUGUGGUCAGACAUAUGCUGUAGAAAUUGGCAUACGAUACGUCACGCCAUUGUUGCUUUUGGCGAUUAAUCUCUGGUACUGGUUUAACAGUAGGCCACUAAUGCCGGGCUAAAUUAUGUGUAUUUUACACUGCUAUUUUCUCUGGAGUUCGUUUAGACGCCAUGCCUGCUUGAAGAGCAACGUUGACUUCGGUCCGGGUAGAUUCAAUUGUUGGGUUGUUGAGUAGUUCCCAUAUAAACGCUUGAGAGGACAGUAUGUUCCAAAAACACACAGCAGGUGUAGUUGUACUAUGUUUCAGUAAAGCAUGAACAAUGUUAUUGCUAGUUUUGUCUGUUCAGAGAUGUGAGUCACUGACCAACCAGAAUGUUAUUGUUGACAUCUGACCUAGGCUCAAUGCAUGGGGAUUUCUAGCCUGGGGCCUGUUGCACAAAAGUAGAAUUAAGACAUCCGGGAUAAAUGACUCAGCUGAGCUCAAUGAAGCCAAAACAUGUGCGUCCAGGCUUAAUUGGUUGCACAAAGACCAAGCCAGGAUGAGCAGACACGGAUUCAUUAAGCCAGGUGAAACCAAUCCUGGAUAGGUGCGCGCUCACGGCUCACUCAAAUAGACCCCGCCACAGAUCACAGAUUAACUGAUUUACCAUGGCAACUAGAGCCGCGUACUUUUCCCCGUCGGAAGCACAAAUCCUCAUGGAGGCAUACGAGGAGGUAAAAGAUAUAAUUAAGAAGAAAGGCAACACCGCCACAGUGAUAAAGCAAAGAGAAAAAGCGUGGCAAAGUAUUGCAGACCGCCUGAAUGCGUAAGUAGUGCACAAUUACACAGUCACCGCUCCGCUGAAACAUCACAAUUACAAUUCAAAUAUUUAAUUCACAUCUCCAAAAAUGCAGUUGUACUGUAAUUAUGAAACGGUUACAUUUUUAAUUGAAAUGCACUGCAGAUAUGAGUGAAAUUGUGUAAAGUAACUCCAUCACACUGUAUAAAGCUAUGAUAAAUGUUUUGAUAUUUUUACUGAAAACAAGACAAAAAUACCAAGUAAUUUUUUGCAGUGUGACUCCAUUAAAUGUGUGUGUGUGUGUGUGUGUGUAGAUUAAACAUGAACGGGCCAAAACGGACAUGGCAGCAGGUCAAAAUCAAAUACAAGAACAUUCUGCAGAAUGCAGUGAAAAAGAAUACCCACAGACAAGGCACGGGUGGUGGGUCACCAAAGGCUGACCUUACCCCAGCAGAGGACAUGGCCUUGGAGCUAAAUAAAGGCAGGCCCGUCUUAGAGGGGAUCCCUGGGGGGAAAGAGACGAGCAUAGGUUCCUCCCAAGAUGCCACCCGCUUCAUUCAAGUGUCUGGCAGCACUGUGUUCCUGUUAGAGCCACCAGCACAAGCACCAGACGAUGCUGAUCCAGGUGAAGGCCCCAGUGCAACAGCACAUGAUGGAGACGAUGAUGAGGAGGAGACCAUCUCUCUGGAUUCCAGAAGGCAUGAGGACCCAGAUGCUAUACAGUGAGAAAACCAGCCUGGCAACAUAGUGCGUAUUAAUAAAAGGACACCACAUCCUGCCAAAUUCCAGCUGCGCUAAUUGUAUUGUGUUCACAGAGCUCACAAGCUAUCAGAAAGUUGUAUGGCAACCACCUCCGGCGCCAAAUAGAACUGGCAGACAUAGACAUUCAGUACAAGAAGAAAAAUAUGGAAAAUCUUGCACUGGAGUCCGAAAUAAAAAAGAGGACAAUUAGGAAACUGGACCUUGAAAUAAAAAAACUUGAGAGGGAGCUCCAAGAAGAUGACACAGCUCAAAAUAAAAAUUAGCAAUCAGUACAACCAAGUCAUCGUUAUAAGGCAUCGCCCUCUUUUGCCCACCCCCCCCAGCACCAGGUGUGGCCACUAGCCUAUAUGAAGGCCCAAAAUUGUGUGUUCCUUUCUGCUCUGACAAUGGCAUGCCCAUUCGUGCGAGAUGUGGUGGAUGAAGAAGCACUUGUGCUGAGGAGAGCCUUCAGGCGAGAAAGGGUCUUCAGGGACCGGUUGGACCCACUGGCCUUCCCUGAUGACCAUCUAUAUGAAAGAUACAGGUUUUCUGCAGAUGGCAUCAGGUAUCUAUGCAGACUACUGGGUCCCAGGAUUAAGCACCGCACUGCACGGAGCCAUGCACUGAGUGUGGAGCAAAUGGUUUGUGUGGCCUUGCGCUUUUUUGCUAGUGGAGCCUUCCUGUACUCAGUGGGGGAUGCAGAACAGCUGAACAAGGCCACAAUUUGCCGCACAAUAAGGAGUGUGUGUCUGGCUAUCAA
Salvelinus fontinalis (brook trout) is the source of this 3011-nucleotide long non-coding RNA. RefSeq lists it as uncharacterized. The record is from RefSeq and is a predicted model, not a curated record. The transcript is spliced from 7 exons. NCBI's taxonomy places the organism in Eukaryota, Metazoa, Chordata, Actinopteri, Salmoniformes, Salmonidae.